AGGUCACUGCUAUUGGAGUUCGAUUAAGCCAUGCGAGUCGGUUGGGUUAGAACCAAGGCGUACCGCUCAGUAACACGUGGAUAACCUACCCUCAGGUGGGGGAUAAUCUCGGGAAACCGAGGAUAAUACCCCAUAGGCCUAGGAUGUUGGAAUGCUUCUAGGCUCAAAGUUCCGGCGCCUGAGGAUGGGUCUGCGGCCUAUCAGGUAGUAGUGAGGGUAAUGGCCUCACUAGCCGACGACGGGUACGGGCCUUGAGAGAGGUAGCCCGGAGAUGGACUCUGAGACACGAGUCCAGGCCCUACGGGGCGCAGCAGGCGCGAAAACUGCGCAAUGUGCGAAAGCGCGACGCGGGAACUCCAAGUGCCGUUGUUGCUUCGGUGAUGACGGCUUUUCAGAUGCCUAAAAAGCUUUUGGAAUAAGGGCUGGGUAAGACCGGUGCCAGCCGCCGCGGUAAUACCGGCAGCCCGAGUGGUGUCCACUAUUAUUGGGUCUAAAACGUCCGUAGCCUGCCUGGUAAAUCCUUCGGUAAAUCGAACGGCUUAACCGUUCGGCCUCGUGGGAGACUGUCAGGCUUGGGACCGGGAGAGGUUAGAAGUACUCCAGGGGUAGGGGUGAAAUCCUGUAAUCCUUGAGGGACUACCAGUGGCGAAGGCGUCUAACUUGAACGGGUUCGACGGUAAGGGACGAAAGCCAGGGGCGCAAACGGGAUUAGAUACCCCGGUAGUCCUGNCCGUAAACGCUGCGGGCUUNGUGUUGGGGGUCCUACGAGGGCGUCCAGUGCCGGAGCGAANGUGUUAAGCCCGCUACCUGGGGAGUACGACCGCAAGGUUGAAACUUAAAGGAAUUGGCGGGGGAGCACCGCAACGGGAGGAGCGUGCGGUUCAAUUGGAUUCAACGCCGGAAAACUCACCGGGGGCGACUGCCGUAUGAGGCUCAAUUUGACGAGUUUAGCCAAUAGGUAGAGAGGUGGUGCAUGGCCGCCGUCAGUUCGUACCGUAAGGCGUUCUGUUAACCCCGAUAACGAACGAGACCCUCGCUCUUAGUUGCCACUUAUCUCUCCGGAGAUAAAGCACACUAAGGGGACCGCCGCUGCUAAAGCGGAGGAAGGAGAGGGCAACGGUAGGUCCGUAUGCCCCGAAUCUCCCGGGCUACACGCGCGCUACAAAGGACAGGACAAUGGGUUCCAACAUUGAAAGGUGAAGGUAAUCUCGAAACCUGUCCCAAGUUCGGAUUGAGGGCUGUAAUUCGCCCUCAUGAAGGUGGAUUCCGUAGUAAUCGCGGGUCAACAUCCCGCGGUGAAUACGCCCCUGCUCCUUGCACACACCGCCCGUCAAACCAUCCGAGUUGGGCUUGAGCGAGGGCUUCUUUUAUUGGGAAGCUCGAACUUAGGUUCAGCAAGGAGGGUU
This 1406-nucleotide ribosomal RNA is filed under the name uncultured archaeon. RNAcentral's name for it is "bacterial SSU rRNA". It matches the Rfam family "Archaeal small subunit ribosomal RNA". The record is from RNAcentral.